GACGAACGCUGGCGGCGUGCCUAACACAUGCAAGUCGAACGGAAGUAAGUUUUCGGAUUUACUUUAGUGGCGAACGGGUGAGUAACGCGUGAGAAGCCUGCCUUUCAGUGGGGGACAACAGUUGGAAACGACUGCUAAUACCGCAUAACACUUUAGAAUCGCAUGAUUCAGAAGUCAAAGCUUUAAGUGCUGAAAGAUGGUCUCGCGUCUGAUUAGCUAGUUGGUGAGGUAACGGCUCACCAAGGCGACGAUCAGUAGCCGGUCUGAGAGGAUGGACGGCCACAUUGGGACUGAGAUACGGCCCAG
Molecule: ribosomal RNA, 306 nt
Filed under: uncultured bacterium
Lineage: Bacteria
Description: bacterial SSU rRNA
Rfam family: Bacterial small subunit ribosomal RNA
Source: RNAcentral